Molecule: ribosomal RNA, 253 nt
Filed under: uncultured bacterium
Lineage: Bacteria
Description: partial 16S ribosomal RNA
Rfam family: Bacterial small subunit ribosomal RNA
Source: RNAcentral
UACGGGGGGGGCAAGCGUUGUUCGGAAUUACUGGGCGUAAAGGGCUCGUAGGCGGCCAACUAAGUCAUACGUGAAAUCCCCCGGCUUAACCGGGGAACUGCGUCUGAUACUGGAUGGCUUGAGUUCGGGAGAGGGAUGCGGAAUUCCAGGUGUAGCGGUGAAAUGCGUAGAUAUUGGGAAGAACACCGGUGGCGAAGGCGGCUCUCUGGACCGUAACUGACGCUGAGGCGCGAAAGCGUGGGGAGCAAACAGG